Molecule: ribosomal RNA, 253 nt
Filed under: uncultured bacterium
Lineage: Bacteria
Description: partial 16S ribosomal RNA
Rfam family: Bacterial small subunit ribosomal RNA
Source: RNAcentral
UACGUAGGGACCGAGCGUUGUCCGGAAUCAUUGGGCGUAAAGAGCGUGUAGGCGGCCACUUAAGUCCUGCGUGAAAUCUUGCGGCUCAACCGCAAGCGGUCGUGGGAAACUGGGUGGCUAGAGUGCGGGAGAGGAGAGUGGAAUUCCUGGCGUAGCGGUGAAAUGCGCAGAUAUCAGGAGGAACACCAAUGGCGAAGGCAGCACUCUGGGACGUGACUGACGCUGAGACGCGAAAGCGUGGGGAGCAAACAGG